Long non-coding RNA from Tyto alba (common barn owl), 908 nucleotides. RefSeq lists it as uncharacterized. The transcript is spliced from 3 exons. The record is from RefSeq and is a predicted model, not a curated record. NCBI's taxonomy places the organism in Eukaryota, Metazoa, Chordata, Aves, Strigiformes, Tytonidae.
UGUGGUAAAGGCUCUGAAACAUGGGUGUGCCUUUUUGCCCCCUAUCCACUGAAAAACGGUGAUCAUCCAUCAGUGCCACUAAACCAAUAACAAGCACUUCAUGAAUGCUGGCAACACCCCAGCAGCACUAUAAAGGAUGGCUGAGAGAUUUGAAUUCUGAAUGCCAGAUCCCUUGAUGUUGAACACACGACCACAACACAGAUGACAUUCUUGACUGGAACAGAUAAAAUUGCAAUGUGAAUGAAGAACUAUUCUCAUAUGACUGCAAGCACGCAAUGCUGGUGGGGAAGUUAAGUGUCCUUAGCCACCUGUUCUUUCUCUGUAGUAAACUCACCCUGUGUGUUCAAUGUGCAGGAGUGCAAAGCUACCACUGCACUAAUGUGGCUCACAUCUGUAACCGGGCUGGUAUAUUUGUGGGUGCUAGACCACAUGCCUGAGUAGCUAGAAGACCGUUAGCUGUGAAGACAUAGUCCUGUUUCACAUCAUGCAGUAUCACUGCAGUGUAGUUUAUGAGAGAAAGCAAAGUGCCGUAACCUAUAGAAAUGACAUGGACAGUCUGGUAAAUACAACUACUAUCCCCUGUGGCACUAAAAUGUUAGUUCAGAGGCUUACUUUCUCAUCCUGCUCAGUUUGCUCAUCCUUGUCUCUUGUAAGCAGAAAUCAUUGCAUUUAGCAAGUUGGCAUACCUGUUUUUUAACAGGUGCUUUCUACAUGUUGACUUCAGAGAUGUUUGCAUUGCUGAAAAUUUGCAAAAGCAAAUGAAAAGUCUAGUAAAAUAUUUUCUUAAAUAUUUAAGUAUGUAGUUUUCCUGUAAGAUUUUACGUUUCACUGAAUUGUUGCAUAACAAUAUUUAAAUGCAGUCAUUUCUUCUUAGGCAUAAUGAACAUAAUGUGAAGUUAAAUCAAAAG